CAAGAAGUUCAUAAUAGGAAGUUGUGAUACAAAGCUCCUAGAACUGCUGGAUUGUAGAGAUUGCUCAACUCUUGGGCGUUGUAUGCUUAUGUAAGGUCCAUUAUUAAGCGACAGCAACUGCAGUUCAUAAAAAUCGAAUCAGUCUGGAUCCUAUAUUUUUGACAGCUGAAGCUUCAUCUGGAUGUUUUUAUGCAGUCAAUAGGCGUGGUCAGGUGUUACUUGCCACUGUAAAUGAACAAACAAUUGUACCUUUUGUUAGUGCUCAGUUAAACAAUUUCGGACUCGCAGUUAGUCUUGCCAGAAGAGGAAAUCUUCCUGGUGCUGAAGACUUGGUUGUCUAGCAGUUCCAAGAAUUGUUUUGAAACAUUGUUCUUCAUUUAUAUGAUGUGCAAUCUUUGUAGCAAGAACUAAUUUGCUCAUCCAAUUUUCUUGCACGGUGUUCCUGUGCAAGCUGGGCAAACACCACCAUUGUUGCAAUACUUUGGAACUUUGUUACUAUAGGAAAACUCAACACUUUUGAAUCAUUGGAAUUGCCAUGUUUGGUUGUAAAUCAAAACAAGAAGCAUCUUUUGGAGAAUUGGCUAGCGGAGGACAAGCUUGAAUGUAGCGAAGAGCUAACUUUUUCGAUAAUUUCAGGACGACAAAGUUUCUAGAUGAAGAAAUUGAAGAGGACAAGAUGUUCUGGAAUCAGGAGGCUCUUAAAGAGGAGGAAGAAGAUGAUAACUAUGAAGUGGAGCUGAAAGUUACUGAUUUGUUUGAUAAUGACUUUGUGAAAGAUAAUAUCUCUUGCAAGGCAAUAGAUUGUGUUAAUAUUAAUUAUAGCUGGCUUAAUACUAUCAGUUCCUAAGCUGGAUUGAGCGAUGCUGUGAUUUGGUGUUGAAGCAUCUUUCAGUCAUGCAGAAACAAAGAUGCUGAUGAAAAAAGUUGAUGCAUUGAUGAAAGCCAUGGAGCAGAGUCUAUAGAAAUGAAGAGAGAAACCGUAGCUAAAGAUAAAGAAGCUGCAGCAGCCAAGGUGGAUGCUGACAAAAAGAACAUAAUUAUAAACUCAUCUAAGAGGUUAUAAUUACUUUUCAACAGCCUCAAUACCAUUCUUUCCUUUUGUAUGAUGCUUCUGUAGCAGCAUCCCUUUCAAAUAUUAAAAUUUUUCAGAUCUGAUCACCUGAAUAUAUGAUUGAUUUUAUA
Molecule: RNA transcript, 1182 nt
Organism: Rosa chinensis
Lineage: Eukaryota; Viridiplantae; Streptophyta; Magnoliopsida; Rosales; Rosaceae
Exons: 7
Source: RefSeq, a predicted model, not a curated record